CAGGGGGCGGGGCCGGGCGGCGCCGGCGCCAUGGCUGCGGUGUGCUGAGGGGGCUGCGCGGUCUUGAGGGGCAAAGGGGGGGUUUCUGUGUGAAAACCGUCGCCUUUUUGCCGUAUCGGGGUGGCGGGGGGCUCCCUGUCCGCCGCGGUGCCAGGCUGUGCCGGCAGCAGCCGGCUCCCGGCGCGGCCCGAGCCUCCGCGCGCCUCAGAGCUGCUCCUUUUACCGCGGUGCAGCCGUUACCGGGCGAAUUGCAGCUGCAGCCGGCCGUGAACGCGAGCGGCUAAACACGGGCUAGGGCGACAUAACAGCCGGCCCCGUGGUGGCGGUCCCCGAGGAGGCGGAGGUGUGGCCCGUCCCGGCGUAAGCGGUUCAUCCCCGGCAGUGGAGAGAUCUGCGAUGUGAGAGCCAAGUUCCCUUUUUCCUGAGGCUCUUAGGGCCUCCUGCAGUCGCCCAGUCCAUGGCACGGAUGGAAAAGGGACUUGUUCAGAAAAAAAAGGCAUGGAUUGAAGCAAAGAGGCACAGCGGACACAUUCUCUACCUGUGGUGGAAUAUUGCUUGAUUGUCUGCAGUCAGGAAGAUAGUAAGGUAGUAUUUCAAUGCUUAUGGGAAACACAGUUUUUAUGAGGAAAGAACUGGGAGUAAAGUAACAGGCUCAGGCUGGAGGCCAAUGGAAAUAUCCUUGAGAAAAAUCUUUGGCUUUUCUCCAUUUAGUUAGCAGGUAAUUUCCACCUCAUGAAAGUGAGAAAAUAAUAGCAUACUCAGUGUGAUGUUACGUAACGAGUCAGAACUUCUAAGUUUUUGGAAGUGGUGCAAGAAGGGAAUGAAGGAUAUUUGGCAUCUUGGGUGGUGUUAUCCAUUGAUCCAACACUAGAUCUGUUCUCAAAAGAUAUGCACUGAAGCGAGGCUACCGUGCUGGUAACUGUAGCAGUGUUAGCUUUUCUGAGCAUACUGCGACAAGUAUCUCUGCUGAACAGAUUAGCCAGGUUGGUUAGAGCAGCACAAUAAAUCUGUACUGUUAAAAGAAAAGACAAAAAAAGAGCAAAUACUGAA
This is a long non-coding RNA of Dromaius novaehollandiae (emu), 1050 nucleotides long. RefSeq lists it as uncharacterized. The transcript has 3 exons. Lineage: Eukaryota; Metazoa; Chordata; Aves; Casuariiformes; Dromaiidae. The record is from RefSeq and is a predicted model, not a curated record.